AUGCUGCUCCUCCCCGAGACCCCACUCAAUCUGGACCAGCAGGUCCCGAGCGCUCCCUCGUCGCCCCGCCGCCGUCUCUCGCCGGAGCCCUGCCGCCGGCGACCACCUCCGUCCCGGCCCAUGCCUCGUGCCUUGCUCCUCCCUCUUCCUUCUCCCCUUCUCCUUCCUCUCUCUCAUGCCUCAUCUCUCUCUGCCCGUGGACAGGAGCUUCUCCUGUUGGCCAUGGAGCCUGCAGCCCCAAGCUCGUCGUUCGUCGCCGUCCGCCGCCGGAUUCUCGACCCCGACUGCCGGAUCCGGUUGCCCCGCGCCCGAUCUAUCCAUUCCCAGCCUCCCCGACACUCGUCGGAGUCCCACGCGUCCACGCCGCCGGCGUCGACUUCCGUGGCCAUGGUUCUGUACGAGGAAUGGAGCCAGCCUGAUGUAGAUCCCGUUUUCGCGCUGGUAUAUUUUCACCAAGUCCCUAAUUUUCAGCAUUCUGGUGCCCUUUUCAACAUGCCAUAA
RNAcentral lists this ribosomal RNA (501 nucleotides) under Triticum aestivum (bread wheat). Its description in RNAcentral is "partial small subunit ribosomal RNA". The record is from RNAcentral. Lineage: Eukaryota; Viridiplantae; Streptophyta; Magnoliopsida; Poales; Poaceae.